GACGAACGCUGGCGGCGUGCUUAACACAUGCAAGUCGAACGGAAAGGCCCUGCUUGCAGGGUACUCGAGUGGCGAACGGGUGAGUAACACGUGGGUGAUCUGCCCUGCACUUCGGGAUAAGCCUGGGAAACUGGGUCUAAUACCGGAUAGGAGCCAUUUUUAGUGUGAUGGUUGGAAAGUUUUUUCGGUGUAGGAUGAGCUCGCGGCCUAUCAGCUUGUUGGUGGGGUAAUGGCCUACCAAGGCGGCGACGGGUAGCCGGCCUGGGAGGGUGGACGGCCAAAUUGGGACUGGGAUACGGCCCAGACUCCUACGGGAGGCAGCAGUGGGGAAUAUUGCACAAUGGGCGCAAGCCUGAUGCAGCGACGCCGCGUGGGGGAUGACGGCCUUCGGGUUGUAAACUCCUUUCGCUAGGGACGAAGCUUUUUGUGACGGUACCUAGAUAAGAAGCACCGGCUAACUACGUG
This 465-nucleotide ribosomal RNA is filed under the name uncultured bacterium. RNAcentral's name for it is "partial 16S ribosomal RNA". It matches the Rfam family "Bacterial small subunit ribosomal RNA", at positions 28 to 507 of the family's 1533-position model. The record is from RNAcentral.